This 495-nucleotide ribosomal RNA is filed under the name uncultured bacterium. Its description in RNAcentral is "partial 16S ribosomal RNA". It matches the Rfam family "Bacterial small subunit ribosomal RNA", at positions 28 to 507 of the family's 1533-position model. The record is from RNAcentral.
GACGAACGCUGGCGGCGUGCCUAAUACAUGCAAGUAGAACGCUGAAGGAGGAGCUUGCUCUUCUGGAUGAGUUGCGAACGGGUGAGUAACGCGUAGGUAACCUGCCUGGUAGCGGGGGAUAACUAUUGGAAACGAUAGCUAAUACCGCAUAACAGUAGAUGUUGCAUGACAUUUACUUAAAAGGUGCAAUUGCAUCACUACCAGAUGGACCUGCGUUGUAUUAGCUAGUUGGUGGGGUAACGGCUCACCAAGGCGACGAUACAUAGCCGACCUGAGAAGGUGAUCGGCCACACUGGGACUGAGACACGGCCCAGACUCCUACGGGAGGCAGCAGUAGGGAAUCUUCAGCAAUGGACGGAAGUCUGACCGAGCAACGCCGCGUGAGUGAAGAAGGUUUUCGGAUCGUAAAGCUCUGUUGUAAGAGAAGAACGAGUGUGAGAGUGGAAAGUUCACACUGUGACGGUAUCUUACCAGAAAGGGACGGCUAACUACGUG